RNAcentral lists this small RNA (66 nucleotides) under Myotis lucifugus (little brown bat). Its description in RNAcentral is "GRIK4 3 prime UTR element (ENSMLUG00000021098.1)". Lineage: Eukaryota; Metazoa; Chordata; Mammalia; Chiroptera; Vespertilionidae. The record is from RNAcentral.
UAGAGGCAGUGGAGACAGGAACAGAGCCAAGGCGGCGGAGGUGGGAGGCGGGAGAGAAACCAGCCA